Molecule: ribosomal RNA, 512 nt
Filed under: uncultured bacterium
Lineage: Bacteria
Description: partial 16S ribosomal RNA
Rfam family: Bacterial small subunit ribosomal RNA
Source: RNAcentral
GAUGAACGCUGGCGGCGUGCCUAAUACAUGCAAGUCGAACGAAACUUCUUUAUCACCGAGUGCUUGCACUCACCGAUAAAGAGUUGAGUGGCGAACGGGUGAGUAACACGUGGGCAACCUGCCCAAAAGAGGGGGAUAACACUUGGAAACAGGUGCUAAUACCGCAUAACCAUAGUUACCGCAUGGUAACUAUGUAAAAGGUGGCUAUACUACCGCUUUUGGAUGGGCCCGCGGCGCAUUAGCUAGUUGGUAGGGUAAAGGCUUACCAAGGCAAUGAUGCGUAGCCGAAUUGAGAGGUUGAUCGGCCACAUUGGGACUGAGACACGGCCCAAACUCCUACGGGAGGCAGCAGUAGGGAAUCUUCCACAAUGGGCGAAAGCCUGAUGGAGCAACGCCGCGUGGGUGAAGAAGGACUUCGGAUCGUAAAACCCUGUUGUUAGAGAAGAAAGUGCGUGAGAGUAACUGUUCACGUUUCGACGGUAUCUAACCAGAAAGCCACGGCUAACUACGUG